CACACACACUAGCAUGUGUAACAUACAGUGUCAACACACAUGUACAAAGCAUGUGUGAAGGUACAGUCGACGAUGUCGAUUUGUACAAACGUUCGAUGCGUUCAUGAUCAAGAGGCGGCGUUGUUUAGUUUAGUUUAGGGAGUGUACCAGGCCAUUUGCUGACUGGAGGUUAAUUAUGGUAUAGUCGUUUGAAAAGUUCCAGGGGCCGAUUUGGCAGCAGAGUGGUUUGCGAAAAGUGAAGGGAAACGGGACGAAAGGCGGGUAGGCGGAAGAUGUAAUGCAAGCCAUAAAUGCCGCCUGCUGUCGCGAGAUGAAAUGGGCCGAGGAACAGAGAAGGGGGUUAGAGAAAAGUCGAAGGAACCUCGCAAUAAGCUCAGAAUUAGUCUGGAUUUAUCGAUCACCCGCGCUGCCGCCACCAUUUUUAUACGAGACCAGUGACGGCGUUUCGUACGCAAAUUAUUAUCGUGUAAUUAUUUAACAGGACCGUAUGAUGUUUAUAAUCACUCGAAUAUCGUUUUUUUUUAUAAUUAUUCUAUAUAAUAAAACG
Diorhabda carinulata is the source of this 547-nucleotide long non-coding RNA. RefSeq lists it as uncharacterized. The transcript has 2 exons. The record is from RefSeq and is a predicted model, not a curated record. Lineage: Eukaryota; Metazoa; Arthropoda; Insecta; Coleoptera; Chrysomelidae.